CCCUGGUAGUCCACGCCCUAAACGAUGUCAACUGGUUGUUGGGAAUUUACUUUCUCAGUAACGAAGCUAACGCGUGAAGUUGACCGCCUGGGGAGUACGGCCGCAAGGUUAAAACUCAAAGGAAUUGACGGGGACCCGCACAAGCGGUGGAUGAUGUGGUUUAAUUCGAUGCAACGCGAAAAACCUUACCCACCUUUGACAUGUAUGGAAGAUCGCAGAGACGCGAUUGUGCUCGAAAGAGAGCCAUAACACAGGUGCUGCAUGGCUGUCGUCAGCUCGUGUCGUGAGAUGUUGGGUUAAGUCCCGCAACGAGCGCAACCCUUGCCAUUAGUUGCUACAUUUAGUUGGGCACUCUAAUGGGACUGCCGGUGACAAACCGGAGGAAGGUGGGGAUGACGUCAAGUCCUCAUGGCCCUUAUAGGUGGGGCUACACACGUCAUACAAUGGCUGGUACAAAGGGUUGCCAACCCGCGAGGGGGAGCUAAUCCCAUAAAGCCAGUCGUAGUCCGGAUCGUAGUCUGCAACUCGACUACGUGAAGUCGGAAUCGCUAGUAAUCGUGGAUCAGAAUGUCACGGUGAAUACGUUCCCGGGUCUUGUACACACCGCCCGUCACACCAUGGGAGCGGGUCUCGCCAGAAGUAGUUAGCCUAACCGCAAGGAGGGCGAUUACCACGGCGGGGUUCGUGACUGGGGGAAGUCGUAACAAGGUAGCCGUAUCGGAAGGUGCGGCUGGAUCACCUCCUU
This 745-nucleotide ribosomal RNA is filed under the name uncultured bacterium. RNAcentral's name for it is "bacterial SSU rRNA". It matches the Rfam family "Bacterial small subunit ribosomal RNA", at positions 785 to 1532 of the family's 1533-position model. The record is from RNAcentral.